CCUACGGGGGGCAGCAGUGGGGAAUAUUGGGCAAUGGGCGCAAGCCUGACCCAGCAACGCCGCGCGAAGGAAGAAGGCUUUCGGGUUGUAAACUUCUUUUAUGAGGGACGAAACAAAUGACGGUACCUCAUGAAUAAGCCACGGCUAACUACGUGCCAGCAGCCGCGGUAAUACGUAGGUGGCAAGCGUUAUCCGGAUUUACUGGGUGUAAAGGGCGUGUAGGCGGGACUGCAAGUCAGAUGUGAAAAUUAUAGGCUCAACCCAUAACCUGCAUUUGAAACUGUAGUUCUUGAGUGAUGGAGAGG
This 305-nucleotide ribosomal RNA is filed under the name uncultured bacterium. RNAcentral describes it as "bacterial SSU rRNA". It matches the Rfam family "Bacterial small subunit ribosomal RNA", at positions 338 to 657 of the family's 1533-position model. The record is from RNAcentral.